Molecule: ribosomal RNA, 914 nt
Filed under: uncultured bacterium
Lineage: Bacteria
Description: bacterial SSU rRNA
Rfam family: Bacterial small subunit ribosomal RNA
Source: RNAcentral
AGAGUUUGAUCCUGGCUCAGAUUGAACGCUGGCGGCAGGCUUAACACAUGCAAGUCGAGCGGGGAAAGGUAGCUUGCUACCUGACCUAGCGGCGGACGGGUGAGUAAUGCUUAGGAAUCUGCCUAUUAGUGGGGGACAACAUCUCGAAAGGGAUGCUAAUACCGCAUACGUCCUACGGGAGAAAGCAGGGGACCUUCGGGCCUUGCGCUAAUAGAUGAGCCUAAGUCGGAUUAGCUAGUUGGUGGGGUAAAGGCCUACCAAGGCGACGAUCUGUAGCGGGUCUGAGAGGAUGAUCCGCCACACUGGGACUGAGACACGGCCCAGACUCCUACGGGAGGCAGCAGUGGGGAAUAUUGGACAAUGGGGGGAACCCUGGUCCAGCCAUGCCGCGUGUGUGAAGAAGGCCUUUUGGUUGUAAAGCACUUUAAGCGAGGAGGAGGCUACCGAGAUUAAUACUCUUGGAUAGUGGACGUUACUCGCAGAAUAAGCACCGGCUAACUCUAUGCCAGCAGCCGCGGUAAUACAGAGGGUGCAAGCGUUAAUCGGAUUUACUGGGCGUAAAGCGCGCGUAGGUGGCCAAUUAAGUCAAAUGUGAAAUCCCCGAGCUUAACUUGGGAAUUGCAUUCGAUACUGGUUGGCUAGAGUAUGGGAGAGGAUGGUAGAAUUCCAGGUGUAGCGGUGAAAUGCGUAGAGAUCUGGAGGAAUACCGAUGGCGAAGGCAGCCAUCUGGCCUAAUACUGACACUGAGGUGCGAAAGCAUGGGGAGCAAACAGGAUUAGAUACCCUGGUAGUCCAUGCCGUAAACGAUGUCUACUAGCCGUUGGGGCCUUUGAGGCUUUAGUGGCGCAGCUAACGCGAUAAGUAGACCGCCUGGGGAGUACGGUCGCAAGACUAAAACUCAAAUGAAUUGACGG